GAACGCAAAGAGCCAGUUUACAUGGAACAGGCCUAAAGGUGAAACGCAAAGAGCCAGUUUACAUGGAACAAGCGUAAAGGUUAAACAUAAACAGCCAGUUUACAUGGAACAGGCCUAAAGGUAAAAUGCAAACAGCCAGUUUACAUGGAGUCGGC
Long non-coding RNA from Nematostella vectensis (starlet sea anemone), 155 nucleotides. RefSeq lists it as uncharacterized. The transcript has 2 exons. The record is from RefSeq and is a predicted model, not a curated record. Lineage: Eukaryota; Metazoa; Cnidaria; Anthozoa; Actiniaria; Edwardsiidae.